Aricia agestis (brown argus) is the source of this 146-nucleotide long non-coding RNA. RefSeq lists it as uncharacterized. The record is from RefSeq and is a predicted model, not a curated record. The transcript has 4 exons. Lineage: Eukaryota; Metazoa; Arthropoda; Insecta; Lepidoptera; Lycaenidae.
CAAAAAAUAUCUCUAAAAUUUAAUUGUACCGUCGAGGAAAUUGAUUCCUAGGCACUUGACAGACCAACGCCAUUUGAUCGGAUAAUGUCAAUUCAAUGUUAAUUGUGAUCUGUCGGCUGGGUUUGACGUAACGCGACCAAACUACG